GAAGAUUGAUCAAGAAACCCUCCUUCAUUUAGAUGAUGUCACACUGACUUCUCUUAUCCCUAUUAUUGGACUUCGUUUAAAAUUCAAGAAAUACCUCAAGAAUGUGCUUGAUGAAUCAACCAAAGAGCCUGCAACUACAGCUACUGAACCAAGGGAGCAGCGGCAGGGUCCUGAGCACAGGAAAGUGGAGCAAGUAGCAGCAUUUAAAGUAAGAGACAUCCUUGCAUCAGCAUCCUGUGGCAGUGGUAUUGUGGAUAGCAUUGAAAAAAAUAACUGCAUUUCACUUAAAGAAAGACAAGCCAUGGUUUGCAUCUUGGUCUCCCAUCU
Molecule: long non-coding RNA, 327 nt
Organism: Carassius carassius (crucian carp)
Lineage: Eukaryota; Metazoa; Chordata; Actinopteri; Cypriniformes; Cyprinidae
Exons: 3
Source: RefSeq, a predicted model, not a curated record